Molecule: ribosomal RNA, 388 nt
Filed under: uncultured bacterium
Lineage: Bacteria
Description: bacterial SSU rRNA
Rfam family: Bacterial small subunit ribosomal RNA
Source: RNAcentral
AACGAACGCUGGCGGCGCGCCUAAUACAUGCAAGUCGAACGAGAAGCUGUAGCAAUACAGUUGUACAGUGGCGAACGGGUGAGGAAUAUAUGGGUGACCUACCCUCGAGUGGGGAAUAACCAGCCGAAAGGUUGGCUAAUACCGCGUACGCUUCCCAGUCUACGGGUUGGGAAGGAAAGCGAUGCCGUGGGUAUCGCGCUCAAGGUUGGGCUCAUGUCCUAUCAGCUUGNGGUGGGGUAACGGCUCACCAAGGCAACGACGGGUAGCUGGUCUGAGAGGACGAUCAGCCACACUGGCACUGCGACACGGGCCAGACUCCUACGGGAGGCAGCAGUAAGGAAUAUUGCGCAUUGGGCGAAAGCCUGACGCAGCGACGCCGCGUGGGGGA